CGGACGGGUGAGUAACACGUGGAUAACCUACCUAUAAGACUGGGAUAACUUCGGGAAACCGGAGCUAAUACCGGAUAAUAUAUUGAACCGCAUGGUUCAAUAGUGAAAGACGGUUUUGCUGUCACUUAUAGAUGGAUCCGCGCCGCAUUAGCUAGUUGGUAAGGUAACGGCUUACCAAGGCAACGAUGCGUAGCCGGCCUGAGAGGGUGAUCGGCCACACUGGAACUGAGACACGGUCCAG
This 241-nucleotide ribosomal RNA is filed under the name uncultured Staphylococcus sp. RNAcentral describes it as "partial 16S ribosomal RNA". It matches the Rfam family "Bacterial small subunit ribosomal RNA", at positions 99 to 334 of the family's 1533-position model. Lineage: Bacteria; Bacillati; Bacillota; Bacilli; Caryophanales; Staphylococcaceae. The record is from RNAcentral.